UACCACUUUAGAACACAGGAUGUCAGCGC
Molecule: non-coding RNA, 29 nt
Filed under: Mus musculus (house mouse)
Lineage: Eukaryota; Metazoa; Chordata; Mammalia; Rodentia; Muridae
Source: RNAcentral